This 159-nucleotide ribosomal RNA is filed under the name Blastocladiella emersonii. RNAcentral's name for it is "5.8S ribosomal RNA". It matches the Rfam family "5.8S ribosomal RNA". From Rfam's summary of the family: 5.8S ribosomal RNA (5.8S rRNA) is a component of the large subunit of the eukaryotic ribosome. The record is from RNAcentral. Lineage: Eukaryota; Fungi; Blastocladiomycota; Blastocladiomycetes; Blastocladiales; Blastocladiaceae.
AAGACAACUUUCAGCAAUGGAUCUCUUGGCUCUUGCAUCGAUGAAGAACGCAGCGAAAUGCGAUACGUAAUGUGAAUUGCAGAACGCGAGUCAUCGAAAUUUUGAACGCACAUUGCACUUGGUGGCAUUCCGCCAAGUAUGUUUGUUUGAGUGUCUGUG